RNAcentral lists this ribosomal RNA (1408 nucleotides) under Enterococcus durans. RNAcentral describes it as "bacterial SSU rRNA". It matches the Rfam family "Bacterial small subunit ribosomal RNA". Lineage: Bacteria; Bacillati; Bacillota; Bacilli; Lactobacillales; Enterococcaceae. The record is from RNAcentral.
CGGAGCUUGCUCCACCGGAAAAAGAAGAGUGGCGAACGGGUGAGUAACACGUGGGUAACCUGCCCAUCAGAAGGGGAUAACACUUGGAAACAGGUGCUAAUACCGUAUAACAAUCGAAACCGCAUGGUUUUGAUUUGAAAGGCGCUUUCGGGUGUCGCUGAUGGAUGGACCCGCGGUGCAUUAGCUAGUUGGUGAGGUAACGGCUCACCAAGGCCACGAUGCAUAGCCGACCUGAGAGGGUGAUCGGCCACAUUGGGACUGAGACACGGCCCAAACUCCUACGGGAGGCAGCAGUAGGGAAUCUUCGGCAAUGGACGAAAGUCUGACCGAGCAACGCCGCGUGAGUGAAGAAGGUUUUCGGAUCGUAAAACUCUGUUGUUAGAGAAGAACAAGGAUGAGAGUAACUGUUCAUCCCUUGACGGUAUCUAACCAGAAAGCCACGGCUAACUACGUGCCAGCAGCCGCGGUAAUACGUAGGUGGCAAGCGUUGUCCGGAUUUAUUGGGCGUAAAGCGAGCGCAGGCGGUUUCUUAAGUCUGAUGUGAAAGCCCCCGGCUCAACCGGGGAGGGUCAUUGGAAACUGGGAGACUUGAGUGCAGAAGAGGAGAGUGGAAUUCCAUGUGUAGCGGUGAAAUGCGUAGAUAUAUGGAGGAACACCAGUGGCGAAGGCGGCUCUCUGGUCUGUAACUGACGCUGAGGCUCGAAAGCGUGGGGAGCAAACAGGAUUAGAUACCUUGGUAGUCCACGCCGUAAACGAUGAGUGCUAAGUGUUGGAGGGUUUCCGCCCUUCAGUGCUGCAGCUAACGCAUUAAGCACUCCGCCUGGGGAGUACGACCGCAAGGUUGAAACUCAAAGGAAUUGACGGGGGCCCGCACAAGCGGUGGAGCAUGUGGUUUAAUUCGAAGCAACGCGAAGAACCUUACCAGGUCUUGACAUCCUUUGACCACUCUAGAGAUAGAGCUUCCCCUUCGGGGGCAAAGUGACAGGUGGUGCAUGGUUGUCGUCAGCUCGUGUCGUGAGAUGUUGGGUUAAGUCCCGCAACGAGCGCAACCCUUAUUGUUAGUUGCCAUCAUUCAGUUGGGCACUCUAGCAAGACUGCCGGUGACAAACCGGAGGAAGGUGGGGAUGACGUCAAAUCAUCAUGCCCCUUAUGACCUGGGCUACACACGUGCUACAAUGGGAAGUACAACGAGUCGCGAAGUCGCGAGGCUAAGCUAAUCUCUUAAAGCUUCUCUCAGUUCGGAUUGUAGGCUGCAACUCGCCUACAUGAAGCCGGAAUCGCUAGUAAUCGCGGAUCAGCACGCCGCGGUGAAUACGUUCCCGGGCCUUGUACACACCGCCCGUCACACCACGAGAGUUUGUAACACCCGAAGUCGGUGAGGUAACCUUUUGGAGCCAGCCGCCUAAGG